UCCAGCAGCAACUCUGAGGCAGAGGCCCCAGGCCCCGGAGACCACACUACACUGCUGGUGUGGCGUAUAUCUCUGUGGUGACCAGGGAGGAUAUAUGCCAUCGCUUAGAUGACAGGCAGGAGCGUCAAGAAGAGGUGAGGCAAAUUUGAACAUGUUUAACUGCUGCUGGGAAGGAUUCAGUAAAGAGGGAGACGCUGAAGAUAUGAGACAAAGAAGAUAGCCAGUGGGUUUGGAAGAAGACUCCAGGAAAUUCAGCUUCUGCCUUUUAGAGAUAAUCAGCCCAGCUCUCCAGUCUCCUACUUGGAAUUCUUUAAAAUAUGGAGAUAUCCCUGAAGAAUCCUAAAUUUAAGAGACCAUUCUGCCAAAUCCUCA
Long non-coding RNA from Lutra lutra (Eurasian river otter), 372 nucleotides. RefSeq lists it as uncharacterized. The transcript has 4 exons. The record is from RefSeq and is a predicted model, not a curated record. Lineage: Eukaryota; Metazoa; Chordata; Mammalia; Carnivora; Mustelidae.